This 573-nucleotide ribosomal RNA is filed under the name uncultured bacterium. RNAcentral's name for it is "partial 16S ribosomal RNA". It matches the Rfam family "Bacterial small subunit ribosomal RNA", at positions 355 to 919 of the family's 1533-position model. The record is from RNAcentral.
UGGGGAAUUUUGGACAAUGGGCGCAAGCCUGAUCCAGCCAUGCCGCGUGCGGGAAGAAGGCCUUCGGGUUGUAAACCGCUUUUGUCAGGGAAGAAAUCUUCUGAGUUAAUACCUCGGGAGGAUGACGGUACCUGAAGAAUAAGCACCGGCUAACUACGUGCCAGCAGCCGCGGUAAUACGUAGGGUGCAAGCGUUAAUCGGAAUUACUGGGCGUAAAGCGUGCGCAGGCGGUUUUGUAAGACAGAGGUGAAAUCCCCGGGCUCAACCUGGGAACUGCCUUUGUGACUGCAAGGCUUGAGUGCGGCAGAGGGGGGAUGGAAUUCCGCGUGUAGCAGUGAAAUGCGUAGAUAUGCGGAGGAACACCGAUGGCGAAGGCAAUCCCCUGGGCCUGCACUGACGCUCAUGCACGAAAGCGUGGGGAGCAAACAGGAUUAGAUACCCCUGGUAGUCCACGCCCUAAACGAUGUCAACUGGUUGUUGGGAAGGUUCCUUCUCAGUAACGUAGCUAACGCGUGAAGUUGACCGCCUGGGGAGUACGGCCGCAAGGUUGAAACUUAAAUGAAUUGACGGGGG